GAUGAACGCUGGCGGCGUGCCUAACACAUGCAAGUCGAGCGUGAACCGUCUGAAUGAAACUUCGGUCGAGUGAGGAUGGGGAAAGCGGCGGACGGGUGAGUAACGCGUAGGCAACCUGCCCCGUACAGAGGGAUAGCCUCGGGAAACCGGGAUUAAGACCUCAUAAUACCAUUAUCUCACAUGUGAUAAUGGUCAAAGAUUUUAUCGGUAUGGGAUGGGCCUGCGUCUGAUUAGCUGGUUGGUGGGGUAACGGCUCACCAAGGCGACGAUCAGUAGCCGACCUGAGAGGGUAAUCGGCCACAUUGGAACUGAGACACGGUCCAAACUCCUACGGGAGGCAGCAGUGGGGAAUAUUGCACAAUGGGCGAAAGCCUGAUGCAGCAACGCCGCGUGAGCGAGGAAGGCCUUUGGGUCGUAAAGCUCUGUCGAGGAGGAGGAUAAUGACGGUACUCCUCGAGGAAGCCCCGGCUAACUACGUGCCAGCAGCCGCGGU
Molecule: ribosomal RNA, 493 nt
Filed under: uncultured bacterium
Lineage: Bacteria
Description: bacterial SSU rRNA
Rfam family: Bacterial small subunit ribosomal RNA
Source: RNAcentral